Molecule: transfer RNA, 70 nt
Filed under: Halicampus grayi (Gray's pipefish)
Lineage: Eukaryota; Metazoa; Chordata; Actinopteri; Syngnathiformes; Syngnathidae
Description: tRNA-Cys
Rfam family: tRNA
About the family: Transfer RNA (tRNA) molecules are approximately 80 nucleotides in length. Their secondary structure includes four short double-helical elements and three loops (D, anti-codon, and T loops).
Source: RNAcentral
AAGCCCUGAGGUGUUAAACACAUUAGAUUGCAAAUCUUAAGUUGCGGAUUAGUUUCUGCCGGGGCUUUCC